AACGAACGCUGGCGGCAGGCUUAACACAUGCAAGUCGAGCGGGCCCGCAAGGGUCAGCGGCGGACGGGUUAGUAACGCGUGGGAACGUGCCUUUUGCUUCGGAAUAGCCCUGGGAAACUGGGGGUAAUACCGGAUGUGCCCUGAGGGGGAAAGAUUUAUCGGCAAGAGAUCGGCCCGCGUUGGAUUAGGUAGUUGGUGGGGUAACGGCCCACCAAGCCGACGAUCCAUAGCUGGUUUGAGAGGAUGAUCAGCAACACUGGGACUGAGACACGGCCCAGACUCCUACGGGAGGCAGCAGUGGGGAAUCUUAGACAAUGGGCGCAAGCCUGAUCUAGCCAUGCCGCGUGGGUGAUGAGGGCCUUAGGGUCGUAAAGCCCUUUCGCCGGGGAAGAUAAUGACGGUACCCGGUAAAGAAACCCCGGCUAACUCCGUGCCAGCAGCCGCGGUAA
RNAcentral lists this ribosomal RNA (449 nucleotides) under uncultured bacterium. Its description in RNAcentral is "partial 16S ribosomal RNA". It matches the Rfam family "Bacterial small subunit ribosomal RNA", at positions 29 to 523 of the family's 1533-position model. The record is from RNAcentral.